GACGAACGCUGGCGGCGUGCUUAACACAUGCCAGUCGAACGCUGAAGCUCAGCUUUUGUUGGGUGGAUGAGUGGCGAACGGGUGAGUAACACGUGAGUAACCUGCCCCCUUCUUUGGGAUAACGCCCGGAAACGGGUGCUAAUACUGGAUAUUCACUGGUCUUCGCAUGGGGGUUGGUGGAAAGGGUUUUUCUGGUGGGGGAUGGGCUCGCGGCCUAUCAGCUUGUUGGUGGGGUGAUGGCCUACCAAGGCUUUGACGGGUAGCCGGCCUGAGAGGGUGACCGGUCACAUUGGGACUGAGAUACGGCCCAGACUCCUACGGGAGGCAGCAGUGGGGAAUAUUGCACAAUGGGCGCAAGCCUGAUGCAGCGACGCCGCGGGAGGGAUGGAGGCCUUCGGGUUGUGAACCUCUUUCGCUCAUGGUCAAGCCGCAACAAUGGUUGUGGUGAGGGUAGUGGGUAAAGAAGCGCCGGCUAACUACGUG
Molecule: ribosomal RNA, 483 nt
Filed under: uncultured bacterium
Lineage: Bacteria
Description: partial 16S ribosomal RNA
Rfam family: Bacterial small subunit ribosomal RNA
Source: RNAcentral